CGAGCUUCCUGAGUCCGGAGCGCGAUGGUGUGAAGUAAAUCUUCACUUUAGCCUCUUCUCCCGGCUCCACCGACUGUCCCAGGCUGAAAGGUCAACAUUUCAAAGUUACAGUCAAUUCUGCUGAUGGAUUAAGAAUGUGAUGGUGUCAUGCUUCAGUGAUGGGGGCAAGAGUCAGUUUUUCCCAGUAAUUAUACUGUAUUUCGCCAUGAACUAUCAAAAAGCCCAGCCCCACACUCACCUGAGCACCAGGGGUUGAAGAGCAGGAUGAGUUGGAUGUCUACAGAUGAGCCCAG
Molecule: long non-coding RNA, 293 nt
Organism: Boleophthalmus pectinirostris (great blue-spotted mudskipper)
Lineage: Eukaryota; Metazoa; Chordata; Actinopteri; Gobiiformes; Gobiidae
Exons: 3
Source: RefSeq, a predicted model, not a curated record